Molecule: long non-coding RNA, 284 nt
Filed under: Elaeis guineensis (African oil palm)
Lineage: Eukaryota; Viridiplantae; Streptophyta; Magnoliopsida; Arecales; Arecaceae
Description: long non-coding RNA (EGUI_LNC046308)
Source: RNAcentral
UCGCCCAGUCUAAGAGAUUGCGUCUCUUGGACUUUCCAAAAGGGGAGGCUUGUGCCUCCUCUCUUCUUUACAAUAAUUUCACGCCACAUAAGAAAAUAACAAGGGAAAAAAUGAGAAGAUUAGUUUGCCAAUUAAUUGGCUUGAUCCAAUCUUUUUAGGCCCUUAAAUAGGUGAUCAGCUAAAUCCAAAUCAAAAUAGAUUUAGAUUAAAUUCAAGGCUAUGGACUUGAUUCAAUCUUUAUCUAAUAAGAAAUCGAAGUCCAGAGAAGAAUUGGAUUUAACCAU